This 500-nucleotide ribosomal RNA is filed under the name uncultured bacterium. RNAcentral describes it as "partial 16S ribosomal RNA". It matches the Rfam family "Bacterial small subunit ribosomal RNA", at positions 30 to 523 of the family's 1533-position model. The record is from RNAcentral.
AUUGAACGCUGGCGGCAUGCUUUACACAUGCAAGUCGAACGGUAACAGGGUGCUUGCACCGCUGACGAGUGGCGAACGGGUGAGUAAUGCGUCGGAACGUGCCGAGUAGUGGGGGAUAACGCAGCGAAAGUUGUGCUAAUACCGCAUACGUACUGAGGUAGAAAGUGGGGGACCUUCGGGCCUCACGCUAUUCGAGCGGCCGACGUCUGAUUAGCUAGUAGGUGGGGUAAAGGCUCACCUGAGCGACGAUCAGUAGCGGGUCUGAGAGGAUGAUCCGCCACACUGGGACUGAGACACGGCCCAGACUCCUACGGGAGGCAGCAGUGGGGAAUUUUGGACAAUGGGCGAAAGCCUGAUCCAGCCAUGCCGCGUGUCUGAAGAAGGCCUUCGGGUUGUAAAGGACUUUUGUCAGGGAGGAAAUCCCUAGUGCUAAUAACACUGGGGGAUGACAGUACCUGAAGAAUAAGCACCGGCUAACUACGUGCCAGCCGCCGCGGUAA